GGGGAAUUUUCCGCAAUGGGCGAAAGCCUGACGGAGCAAUACCGCGUGAGGGAGGACGGCUUUUGGGUUGUAAACCUCUUUUAUCAGGGAAGAAUCGAUGACGGUACCUGAUGAAUCAGCAUCGGCUAACUCCGUGCCAGCAGCCGCGGUAAUACGGAGGAUGCAAGCGUUAUCCGGAAUUAUUGGGCGUAAAGCGUCCGUAGGUGGUUUAUCAAGUCUGCUGUCAAAGCGUGCGGCUUAACCGCAUAAGGGCAGUGGAAACUGAUGAACUAGAGUGCGAUAGGGGUAACAGGAAUUCCCAGUGUAGCGGUGAAAUGCGUAGAUAUUGGGAAGAACACCAGCGGCGAAAGCGUGUUACUGGGUCUGCACUGACACUGAGGGACGAAAGCUAGGGGAGCGAAAGGGAUUAGAUACCCCUGUAGUCCUAGCCGUAAACGAUGACAACUAGGCGUGGUUCGUAUCGACCCGAGCCGUGCCGUAGCCAACGCGUUAAGUUGUCCGCCUGGGGAGUACGCACGCAAGUGUGAAACUCAAAGGAAUUGACGGGGGCCCGCACAAGCGGUGGAGUAUGUGGUUUAAUUCGAUGCAACGCGAAGAACCUUACCAAGGCUUGACAUCCUCGGAACCCUGAUGAAAGUUAGGGGUGCCUUCGGGAGCCGAGAGACAGGUGGUGCAUGGCUGUCGUCAGCUCGUGUCGUGAGAUGUUGGGUUAAGUCCCGCAACGAGCGCAACCCACGUUUUUAGUUGCCAGCAUUCAGUUGGGCACUCUAGAGAGACUGCCGGUGACAAACCGGAGGAAGGUGUGGAUGACGUCAAGUCAGCAUGCCCCAUACGCCUUGGGCUACACACGUACUACAAUGCGUCGGACAAAGAGCAGCCAGCCAGCGAUGGUGAGCCAAUCUCAUAAACCGGCGCUCAGUUCAGAUUGCAGGCUGCAACUCGCCUGCAUGAAGGCGGAAUCGCUAGUAAUCGCAGGUCAGCAUACUGCGGUGAAUACGUUCCCGGGCCUUGUACACACCGCCCGUCACACCAUGGGAGUUGGUCACGCCCGAAGUCGUUACUCUAACUGCUUGCAGAGGAGGACGCCGAAGGUGGGGCUGAUGACUGGGGUGAAGUCGUAACAAGGUAGCCGUACCGGAAGGUGUGGCUGGAUCACCUCCU
This 1161-nucleotide ribosomal RNA is filed under the name Leptolyngbya boryana PCC 6306. Its description in RNAcentral is "bacterial SSU rRNA". It matches the Rfam family "Bacterial small subunit ribosomal RNA", at positions 356 to 1531 of the family's 1533-position model. Lineage: Bacteria; Bacillati; Cyanobacteriota; Cyanophyceae; Leptolyngbyales; Leptolyngbyaceae. The record is from RNAcentral. RNAcentral also lists the same sequence under 2 other names.